UUGGAGGGCAAGUCUGGUGCCAGCAGCCGCGGUAAUUCCAGCUCCAAUAGCGUAUAUUAAAGUUGUUGCAGUUAAAAAGCUCGUAGUUGAACUUCGGGAUCAAUGAAUUGGUCAUGCCGUUGGUAUGUACUGGUCAUAUUGGUUCUCACCUUCUAAGGAACCUUAAUGUCAUUCAUUUGAUGUUUUGGGGAAUUAGGACUGUUACCUUGAAAAAAUUAGAGUGUUUAAAGCAGGCUAACGCUUGAAUACAUUAGCAUGGAAUAAUGAAAUAGGACAUCGCAUUCUAUUUUGUUGGUUUCUAGGAUCGAUGUAAUGAUUAAUAGGGAUAGUUGGGGGCAUUAGUAUUCAAUUGUCAGAGGUGAAAUUCUUGGAUUUAUUGAAGACUAACUACUGCGAAAGCAUUUGCCAAGGAUGUUCUCAUUAAUCAAGAACGAAAGUUAGGGGAUCGAAGACGAUCAGAUACCGUCGUAGUCUUAACCAUAAACUAUGCCGACUAGGGAUCGGAUGAUGUUAAUUUUUUAAUGACUCAUUCGGCACCUUACGGGAAAC
Molecule: ribosomal RNA, 549 nt
Filed under: uncultured Glomus
Lineage: Eukaryota; Fungi; Glomeromycota; Glomeromycetes; Glomerales; Glomeraceae
Description: SSU rRNA
Rfam family: Eukaryotic small subunit ribosomal RNA
Source: RNAcentral